GACGAACGCUGGCGGCGUGCUUAACACAUGCAAGUCGAACGGAAAGGCCCUGCUUUUGUGGGGUGCUCGAGUGGCGAACGGGUGAGUAACACGUGAGUAACCUGCCCUUGACUUUGGGAUAACUUCAGGAAACUGGGGCUAAUACCGGAUAGGAGCUCCUGCUGCAUGGUGGGGGUUGGAAAGUUUCGGCGGUUGGGGAUGGACGCGCGGCUUAUCAGCUUGUUGGUUGGGUAGUGGCUUACCAAGGCAUUGACGGGUAGCCGGCCUGAGAGGGUGACCGGCCACAUUGGGACUGAGAUACGGCCCAGACUCCUACGGGAGGCAGCAGUGGGGAAUAUUGCACAAUGGGCGGAAGCCUGAUGCAGCAACGCCGCGUGCGGGAUGACGGCCUUCGGGUUGUAAACCGCUUUCGCCUGUGACGAAGCGUGAGUGACGGUAAUGGGUAAAGAAGCACCGGCUAACUACGUG
RNAcentral lists this ribosomal RNA (468 nucleotides) under uncultured bacterium. RNAcentral's name for it is "partial 16S ribosomal RNA". It matches the Rfam family "Bacterial small subunit ribosomal RNA", at positions 28 to 507 of the family's 1533-position model. The record is from RNAcentral.